This 279-nucleotide ribosomal RNA is filed under the name uncultured bacterium. RNAcentral's name for it is "partial 16S ribosomal RNA". It matches the Rfam family "Bacterial small subunit ribosomal RNA", at positions 506 to 784 of the family's 1533-position model. The record is from RNAcentral.
UGCCAGCCGCCGCGGUAAUACGGAGGGUGCGAACGUUGCUCGGAAUCAUUGGGCGUAAAGCACACGUAGGCGGCCGUACAAGUUGGAUGUGAAAGCCCUGGGCUCAACCCAGGAAGUGCAUCCAAAACUGUAUGGCUCGAGUACCGAAGGGGGUCAGAGAAUUCCCGGUGUAGAGGUGAAAUUCGUAGAUAUCGGGAGGAACAUCAGUGGCGAAGGCGGCUCCCUGGCCAAAGACUGACGCUCAUGUGCGAAAGUGUGGGUAGCGAACAGGAUUAGAUA